This 555-nucleotide ribosomal RNA is filed under the name uncultured Mycoplasma sp. RNAcentral describes it as "bacterial SSU rRNA". It matches the Rfam family "Bacterial small subunit ribosomal RNA", at positions 137 to 681 of the family's 1533-position model. The record is from RNAcentral. Lineage: Bacteria; Bacillati; Mycoplasmatota; Mollicutes; Mycoplasmatales; Mycoplasmataceae.
UUUGGGACAACAUUUGGAAACGAAUGCUAAUACCGAAUAUUCCUUUUCCUCGCAUGGGGAACUGGUAAAAGGCCCGUUUGGGUCGCCAAGAGAUGAGAGUGCGGUACAUUAGUUAGUUGGUAGGGUAAUGGCCUACCAAGACGAUGAUGUAUAGCGGGGUUGAGAAGCUGAACCGCCACACUGGGACUGAGAUACGGCCCAGACUCCUACGGGAGGCAGCAGUAGGGAAUAUUCCACAAUGAGCGAAAGCUUGAUGGAGCGAUACAGCGUGCAGGAUGAAGGUCUUCGGAUCGUAAACUGCUGUUAUAAGGGAAGAAAAACCGGUGUAGGAAAUGACAUCGGCUUGACGGUACCUUAUCAGAAAGCACCGGCAAACUAUGUGCCAGCAGCCGCGGUAAUACAUAGGGUGCAAGCGUUAUCCGGAAUCAUUGGGCGUAAAGCGUCUGUAGGUGGUCUAUUAAGUCUGAAUUUAAAGCCUGGGGCUCAACCCCAGUUCGGUUCGGAUACUGAUAGACUAGAGUUAUAGAGAGGUAAGUAGAACUCCAUGUGAAGCGG